GACCUUGAUUGGGUUACCGAGAACUGCUAAUUACUCGAUACUAUGGUUCAAUUCCAUAGCAAGAUCA
RNAcentral lists this transfer RNA (67 nucleotides) under Nyctimystes kubori (sandy big-eyed treefrog). RNAcentral's name for it is "tRNA-Ser". Lineage: Eukaryota; Metazoa; Chordata; Amphibia; Anura; Pelodryadidae. The record is from RNAcentral.